AUUGAACGCUGGCGGCAUGCCUUACACAUGCAAGUCGAACGGCAGCACGGGUGCUUGCACCUGGUGGCGAGUGGCGAACGGGUGAGUAAUACAUCGGAACGUACCUUAUCGCGGGGGAUAACGCAGCGAAAGCUGUGCUAAUACCGCAUACGCCCUGAGGGGGAAAGCGGGGGAUCGAAAGACCUCGCGCGAUUAGAGCGGCCGAUGCCUGAUUAGCUUGUUGGUGGGGUAAAAGCCCACCAAGGCGACGAUCAGUAGCUGGUCUGAGAGGACGAUCAGCCACACUGGGACUGAGACACGGCCCAGACUCCUACGGGAGGCAGCAGAGGGGAAUUUUGGACAAUGGGGGCAACCCUGAUCCAGCAAUGCCGCGUGAGUGAAGAAGGCCUUCGGGUUGUAAAGCUCUUUUGUCAGGGAAGAAACGCCGGCUCUAACACAGUCCGGGAAUGACGGUACCUGAAGAAUAAGCACCGGCUAACUACGUGCCAGCAGCCGCAGUAA
RNAcentral lists this ribosomal RNA (501 nucleotides) under uncultured bacterium. RNAcentral's name for it is "partial 16S ribosomal RNA". It matches the Rfam family "Bacterial small subunit ribosomal RNA", at positions 29 to 523 of the family's 1533-position model. The record is from RNAcentral.